CCUACGGGAGGCAGCAACAAGGGAUCUUGGGCAAUGGGCGAAAGCCUGACCCAGCGACGCCGCGUGGGGGAAGAAGGCCUUCGGGUUGUAAACCCCUUUUGCCGGGGAAGAGGAAGGACGGUACCCGGCGAAGAAGCCUCGGCUAACUACGUGCCAGCAGCCGCGGUAAGACGUAGGAGGCGAGCGUUAUCCGGAUUUACUGGGCGUAAAGAGCGCGCGGGCGGCCGGCCCAGUCGGUGGUGAAAUCUCCUGGCCUAACCGGGGAGGGACUGCCGAUACUGGUCGGCUUGAGGGCAGAAGGGGGGAGCGGAAUUCCCGGUGUAGCGGUGAAAUGCGUUGAUAUCGGGAGGAACACUGGUGGCGAAAGCGGCUCCCUGGGCUGUUCCUGACGCUGAGGCGCGAAAGCGUGGGGAGCGAACCGGAUUAGAUACCCGGGUAGU
This 440-nucleotide ribosomal RNA is filed under the name uncultured bacterium. RNAcentral's name for it is "partial 16S ribosomal RNA". It matches the Rfam family "Bacterial small subunit ribosomal RNA", at positions 338 to 794 of the family's 1533-position model. The record is from RNAcentral.